CUAGAUGACGAGUCGGAUUAUUGGGCGUAAGCGCGCGCAGGCGGUCCCUUAAGUCUGAUGUGAAAGCCCACGGCUCAACCGUGGAGGGUCAUUGGAAACUGGGGGACUUGAGUGCAGAAGAGGAGAGCGGAAUUCCACGUGUAGCGGUGAAAUGCGUAGAGAUGUGGAGGAACACCAGUGGCGAAGGCGGCUCUCUGGUCUGUAACUGACGCUGAGGCGCGAAAGCGUGGGGAGCAAACAGGAUUAGAUACCCUGGUAGUCCACGCCGUAAACGAUGAGUGCUAAGUGUUAGAGGGGUUUUCCCUUUAAUGGUGGAACUAACGCGUUAAGCACUCCCCCUGGGGAAUACGGGCGCCAGGGUGAAACUCAAAGGAAUUGACGGGGGCCCGCACAAGCGGUGGAACAUGUGGUUUAAUUCCAAACAACCCGAAAAACCUUACCAGGGCUUGACAUCCCCUGACAACCCUGGAAACAGGGCGUUCCCCCUUCCGGGGGACAGGGUGACAGGUGGUGCAUGGUGGUCGUCAGUUCGUGUCGUGAGAUGUUGGGUUAAUUCCCGCAACGAGCGCAACCUUCGCCCUUAGUUGCCACCAUUCAGUUGGCCACUUUAGGGGGACUCCCGGUUAAAAUCCGGAGGAAGGUGGGGAGGACGUCAAUUCUUCAUGCCCCUUAUGCCCUGGGUUCCACACGUGUUCCAAUGGGCGGUCCAAAGGGUUGCGAACCCGCGAGGGGGAGCGAUUCCCAAAAAGCCGUUUUCAGUUCGGAUUCCAGGUUGCAAUUCCCCUCCAGGAACCCGGAAUCGUUGGUAAUCGCGGAUCACCAUGCCGCGGGGAAUACGUUCCCGGCCCUGGUCCACACCGCCCGUCACACCACGGGAGCUUGCAACACCCGAAGUCGGUGAGGUAACCUGUAAGGAGCCAGCCGCCGAAGAUGUCAUCGACGC
This 943-nucleotide ribosomal RNA is filed under the name Parageobacillus toebii. RNAcentral describes it as "bacterial SSU rRNA". It matches the Rfam family "Bacterial small subunit ribosomal RNA", at positions 534 to 1474 of the family's 1533-position model. Lineage: Bacteria; Bacillati; Bacillota; Bacilli; Caryophanales; Anoxybacillaceae. The record is from RNAcentral.